Amphibalanus amphitrite is the source of this 2981-nucleotide long non-coding RNA. RefSeq lists it as uncharacterized. Lineage: Eukaryota; Metazoa; Arthropoda; Thecostraca; Balanomorpha; Balanidae. The record is from RefSeq and is a predicted model, not a curated record. The transcript is spliced from 3 exons.
UAGUGGCAGGCUCCUGGCUACCCCAUAUUAGUGGCAGGGGGGGCUGUUUACGACCCCCCUUGAUAUCUCGAGAUCUAACCGGCCGAUUUUCAAAAUUCAAACGGCAUUCGAUUUGGCUCAACGAGAUCUACAUUUCUAAAAAAAAAAAAAUGUCAAUAGGGGGGUAGAGGGGGGUAAAAACGGGCAAAUUGCAGAUACAUUUUAGACUGUUUAUCACGGCCAGGUUUCUGAACCAGUCUUAACGCAACUUUUGCCGAUCGAUAGAGAAUGAACCAGGAAUUCACAUGGAUCCUAAAAAUAUGCAUUUUCAAAAAUCAUAGGCGGAUACAGAUUAUUGAGAUUGGGGGUACACAAAAAGUAUAGUAAAUAAGGUUUUUGUUGGUACUGUUUCUAAAAAGGGUGGCAAUGGUCUUGUUAUGUUACAAUUUUCUUAUGAGAGAACGACUAAAAUUGUAUUGGUCAUGCAUAGGCGGUGUCAGGGCACCUAUGUUGGGAGGUAAAAAAUAACCCCCCUUUUUGGACGCCUGGAUCCGCCUAUUAUAGCAAAAACGUGUCAAAAGAGGAUGAACAAUAACUUUGUAUAUGUUAUCACAUGAUACCUUUCAUUCACUGUUCGUAAAACUGGUGCAGCAUCGUGAUCUUCGCCCAAAUGACUCGCUUCACGAAUAGGACCCCCAAUUCCCAGUGCUCUGGAGCCGCCCCUGGUAAAGUUAUGAACUUGAAAUUUUCAGGGAAUGUGCCCAAUUUAGUUUUAGGAAAAGUCAGAAAAUUUCAGCAUCGUAGCUUCAGCGGUUUCGGAGAUAUUCUCGAAAAACCUGAGGGGUGGAUAAAAACAACCCCCCCCCCUGCCACUAAUAGGGUUAAAGCUAGUAUGCCCCAUGCACUGUCGUUUUUUCCGCUUGCUGUCGGUUUUCCAAUAUAUGGAAGCCAGUUACAGGCGUCUCUUAGUCUCUCAUUGGUCAACCGCACACACCACGUGUGGUUCAUCAAUGACCAAUGAGAAGAUGAGAAACGCCAGCACACUGACAGCAUGCUGAUUUGGUGAUCCAACAGCGCCCUGACCACACCCCCUCCCAUCUAUCGCUGACACCCUGCUCGGUAACUCGUUUCGAGACGCGACUGAGCCAGGCCCUUCGACCGGUUACCGCCGCCGGCAUAAUGCCGCCUGAUUCCGACUGCACUGCUGGACACCACUGUGGCGAGCGACCCCGCUGUCAGACUCGGGGCGAACGCACCCCCUCCCCUACCCCCACUCAAGCUCUGGCGAGGGUGAGGGUAUUCACCGCAUCAAACCUACAGGCCGCCUGGACCCUUAUCUUGAGACCAAUAGUACGUAAAACCUGAAACAAACAAUAGUAUCAACAAAAAAUAAUACACAUGGACACACGAACAACACAAAAACCAAUCAUUUCAAAGCAAUGCAUAGAUUAAUCAAUUAUCAAUGGACAAUAAUCUUACUUUUGUGGGAUCUGAAUGUAUCACAAUCGUGUGUCAUCAAUGGCCACGCUUCACCGCGUGCCACGCCCUGUUCAAGGUUCUAUUAAUUAAUUGGAGGCGGCAAAUUGGGGAAAAGGAAACAUCGCUGCCCAAUGACCUCUGGGCGGCGGUUACAAUGUUUUUAAUCCAAUACCAGUAAGCACGCUAUCUAGGCGCAUCGACCCCAGUCUCAGACCGGACCCGAAUGCCGAACCCCAACCGGACUGGACCUGACUUGAACUGGCCCUGUGGAGACCGGACCCGUCCCCUCCAGACGGAUUGUCGGCCGGCUGGUGUCGCUGAUUGGCCUGUGUCAUGUUGUGUCGCAGACUGGUGGUUACCUGUCGGAAACUGGAGUGGCUGAUUUUUCAUGCAACGGAGGAGCUCAGUCAGUCGGUCCUGGACGCCCUGGUCCGGGCAGACCUGGGGAAAAGAGAUGACGGCAAGCCGAGAGCACUGAGGUUCAGGGUCCAAGCCACCGUCUAUGAGAAGCUGAGAAGGCAGCCAACCACCAGCAGCCUCAAAGUGGUGAAGGGUACCUAGAAGUAUCAUACGAAAAUACCACGCCGACUCAGAAUGCGCCUACAGCAGUCAUCCUCAGCUUGUUCACCCUCGCAUGACAAGGCUCCGAGGUGACGGACAAAUGGGACGACAGUCUGCCGGGCUUCAUCUCCAGCUGGGAGCUGGUGAAGCUGUGUUCCUUCAGCACCAGCGUGCACCGGGUGAACACGGUGGGGUCGAACACCAUUAUUCCAUUCAAAACUACGCUGGCUUAUCACAUAAUACGUGUUCGAAAAAGUCCAUGGACAUUUCGUGUAUGAUUUAUAUACAGGUAGAAGGACAAAAUGUGAAUAUAAUGGCGUGAUACAUUACAAGUGAGGCGUGAAAUAUGGACCAGGAACUUGUGUGUGUGGCUCCACAGUGCGCCAUACCAUUGAACCUAAGACAUUGGUUUAUCUGUGGAUUCUGAAGCGAGCGGAUGACGCACUGUGCGGUGUUUACUUUCUUUCUAAUGAAUUGUGUGAAAUAUCAUUGGUGGAGAUUGCACAUUGCAUAUGUUGUGAGGUCCUACGUGCGCGCUGCUUUGUAGAAGCUCAUCAGCGAACUUAUACUACUGCGUUGGAAACAAGUUUUAUGUAGGUUUAGAUGUCCACCUAUGUACAUAUUAAACGAUAAAUUCACAGCUAUGUAGCUUUUAUAAUAUUUUGUACACAUGCGGAGAUCAAAAAGGUUGUGCACCGGAUUGUGUCUGAAUUAUCUGUGACAAAUCAUUGAUGAGCUUUGCUUGUGCCGCGCGGCUGUGCUGGUUUGCGUAUAUUCUUUCCCGUUAUUCCGUUUGCCUAAUGCAACUCCAAUCGAUGUUAUGGGUAGCUUAGCAGCCAGUUGCAACUAGCUAAUGUCCUUGGAGUUUUUGUUUACGUGUUUAUAUGCCAUGUUAUGUUCUUGUGUAUGAUCACCAAACGUGCCUGCUUUAUAUCUGUAAUACAGUAACGGCAGUGACAAUA